Molecule: ribosomal RNA, 569 nt
Filed under: Vitreorana baliomma
Lineage: Eukaryota; Metazoa; Chordata; Amphibia; Anura; Centrolenidae
Description: partial large subunit ribosomal RNA
Rfam family: Bacterial large subunit ribosomal RNA
Source: RNAcentral
CGCCUCUUGAGUAAAUAUAAGAGGUCCAGCCUGCCCAGUGACUCUGUUCAACGGCCGCGGUAUCCUAACCGUGCGAAGGUAGCGUAAUCACUUGUUCUUUAAAUGAGGACUAGUAUGAAUGGCACCACGAAGGUUAUACUGUCUCCUUUUUCUAAUCAGUGAAACUAAUCUCCCCGUGAAGAAGCGGAGAUAAAUAUAUAAGACGAGAAGACCCUAUGGAGCUUUAAACUUCAUAACACUUGCACUUAUCAAUGCAAAUUUCAGAAAAAUACAUAUUAUUCAUGCAAGAUGAUUAUCAGUUUUAGGUUGGGGUGACCGCGGAGAAAAAAAUAACCUCCACAUUGAAAGGAAUUUCACUCCUUAGCUAAGAGCUACAUCUCUAUGCACCACCAAAGUGACAUUAAUUGACCCAACAAUUUGAUCAACGAACCAAGUUACCCUAGGGAUAACAGCGCAAUCCACUUCAAGAGCUCCUAUCGACAAGUGGGUUUACGACCUCGAUGUUGGAUCAGGGUAUCCAGGUGGUGCAGCCGCUACCAAAGGUUCGUUUGUUCAACGAUUAAAACCCU